RNAcentral lists this ribosomal RNA (456 nucleotides) under uncultured bacterium. RNAcentral's name for it is "bacterial SSU rRNA". It matches the Rfam family "Bacterial small subunit ribosomal RNA", at positions 923 to 1379 of the family's 1533-position model. The record is from RNAcentral.
GCACAAGCGGUGGAGCAUGUGGUUUAAUUCGACGCAACGCGAAGAACCUUACCUGGGCUCGAAAUGUAGUGGAAUCCGGUAGAAAUAUCGGCGCCUAGCAAUAGGCCGCUAUAUAGGUGCUGCAUGGCUGUCGUCAGCUCGUGUCGUGAGAUGUUGGGUUAAGUCCCGCAACGAGCGCAACCCUUAUCUCCAGUUGCUACCAUUUAGUUGAGCACUCUGGCGAAACCGCCUCGGAUAACGGGGAGGAAGGUGGGGAUGACGUCAAGUCCUCAUGGCCUUUAUGUCCAGGGCUACACACGUGCUACAAUGGCCGGUACAAACCGCUGCAAACCCGCGAGGGGGAGCUAAUCGGAAAAAGCCGGCCUCAGUUCGGAUUGGAGUCUGCAACUCGACUCCAUGAAGCUGGAAUCGCUAGUAAUCGUGGAUCAGCAUGCCACGGUGAAUACGUUCCCGGGC